GGAAUAUUGCACAAUGGGCGCAAGCCUGAUGCAGCCAUGCCGCGUGUAUGAAGAAGGCCUUCGGGUUGUAAAGUACUUUCAGUGGGGAGGAAGGCGAUGAAGUUAAUAACUUCGUCGAUUGACGUUACCCGCAGAAGAAGCACCGGCUAACUCCGUGCCAGCAGCCGCGGUAAUACGGAGGGUGCAAGCGUUAAUCGGAAUUACUGGGCGUAAAGCGCACGCAGGCGGUCUGUCAAGUCGGAUGUGAAAUCCCCGGGCUCAACCUGGGAACUGCAUUCGAAACUGGCAGGCUAGAGUCUUGUAGAGGGGGGUAGAAUUCCAGGUGUAGCGGUGAAAUGCGUAGAGAUCUGGAGGAAUACCGGUGGCGAAGGCGGCCCCCUGGACAAAGACUGACGCUCAGGUGCGAAAGCGUGGGGAGCAAACAGGAUUAGAUACCCGAG
RNAcentral lists this ribosomal RNA (440 nucleotides) under uncultured Erwinia sp. Its description in RNAcentral is "bacterial SSU rRNA". It matches the Rfam family "Bacterial small subunit ribosomal RNA", at positions 358 to 790 of the family's 1533-position model. Lineage: Bacteria; Pseudomonadati; Pseudomonadota; Gammaproteobacteria; Enterobacterales; Erwiniaceae. The record is from RNAcentral.